GGGAAGAAGGAAAGGGGGGAAGGAAAAGGGAGCUUCCGGGUAUUCCGGGAAGUAUGCCUGUUUGAGGGUCAGUAUUAACAAAAAAUCGGUUUGGUUGCAAAUUGUGACGUUUCCGGAGUUUGGGCUAUCUUAAAUUUUUUGGUUAAGGGGCUUAAAAUUGACCUUUUUUGCGCAUUUUUAGACGUACAUAAAUUUUUUUUUUUAUUCGUCUAUUCUGAAUGCCAAAAUGUUAUUAGAUGCGAUAACAUCGUGUGGUUUCGUGGCUAUAAAUUUUUCAUGAUUUGACCUCAAAUCAGGUAUG
RNAcentral lists this unclassified non-coding RNA (301 nucleotides) under Rhizophagus sp. (in: glomeromycetes). RNAcentral's name for it is "partial contains 5.8S ribosomal RNA and internal transcribed spacer 2". The record is from RNAcentral. Lineage: Eukaryota; Fungi; Glomeromycota; Glomeromycetes; Glomerales; Glomeraceae.